Molecule: ribosomal RNA, 381 nt
Filed under: uncultured Methanomicrobiales archaeon
Lineage: Archaea; Methanobacteriati; Methanobacteriota; Methanomicrobia; Methanomicrobiales
Description: bacterial SSU rRNA
Rfam family: Archaeal small subunit ribosomal RNA
Source: RNAcentral
UCGGGCUGAAGACUCACUUGACUAGCUGAGAGGAGGUGCAUGGCCGUCGUCAGUUCGUACUGUGAAGCAUCCUGUUAAGUCAGGCAACGAGCGAGACCCACGCCAACAGUUGCCAGCUCGUCCUCCGGGAUGGUGGGGACACUGUUGGGACCGCCUCUGCUAAAGAGGAGAGGAAUGGGCACGGUAGGUCAGCAUGCCCCGAAUUAUCUGGGCUACACGCGGGCUACAAUGGGUGGGACAAUGGGUAUCGACACCGAAAGGUGAAGGCAAUCUCCUAAACCCAUCCGUAGUUCGGAUUGUGGGCUGCAACUCGCCCACAUGAAGCUGGAAUCUGUAGUAAUCGUGUCUCAAAAUGGCACGGUGAAUAUGCCCCUGCUCCUU